UACGAAGGGGGCUAGCGUUGCUCGGAAUUACUGGGCGUAAAGCGCACGUAGGCGGCUUUCUAAGUCGGGGGUGAAAUCCUGGAGCUCAACUCCAGAACUGCCUUCGAUACUGGAAAGCUCGAGUCCGGGAGAGGUGAGUGGAACUGCGAGUGUAGAGGUGAAAUUCGUAGAUAUUCGCAAGAACACCAGUGGCGAAGGCGGCUCACUGGCCCGAUACUGACGCUGAGGCACGAAAGCCAGGGGAGCAAACGGG
RNAcentral lists this ribosomal RNA (253 nucleotides) under uncultured bacterium. RNAcentral's name for it is "partial 16S ribosomal RNA". It matches the Rfam family "Bacterial small subunit ribosomal RNA", at positions 524 to 776 of the family's 1533-position model. The record is from RNAcentral.